AGCUGUCCCCAAUCUCUUCAUGCUGGAAACAGUGGAUUCUGUGAAGUUGGCAGAUAAAGUGAACAGUUCCUGGCAGAAAAAAGGUUCUCCUGAAAGGUUAAAGGUUAUGGUCCAGAUUAACACCAGCGGAGAAGAGAGUAAACAUGGCCUCCCACCUUCAGAGACCAUAGCCAUCGUGGAGCACAUAAACACCAAGUGUCCUAACCUGGAGUUUGUGGGGCUGAUGACCAUAGGAAGCUUUGGGCAUGAUCUUAGUCAAGGACCAAAUCCAG
RNAcentral lists this small RNA (272 nucleotides) under Pongo abelii (Sumatran orangutan). RNAcentral describes it as "retained intron". Lineage: Eukaryota; Metazoa; Chordata; Mammalia; Primates; Hominidae. The record is from RNAcentral.